AUUGAACGCUGGCGGCAGGCCUAACACAUGCAAGUCGAGCGGAUGAAGGGAGCUUGCUCCUGGAUUCAGCGGCGGACGGGUGAGUAAUGCCUAGGAAUCUGCCUGGUAGUGGGGGAUAACGUCCGGAAACGGGCGCUAAUACCGCAUACGUCCUGAGGGAGAAAGUGGGGGAUCUUCGGACCUCACGCUAUCAGAUGAGCCUAGGUCGGAUUAGCUAGUUGGUGGGGUAAAGGGCUACCAAGGCGACGAUCCGUAACUGGUCUGAGAGGAUGAUCAGUCACACUAGAACUGAGACACGGUCCAGACUCCUAAGGGAGGCAGCAGUGGGGAAUAUUGGACAGUGGGCGAAAGCCUGAUCCAGCCAUGCCGCGUGUGUGAAGAAGGUCUUCGGAUUGUAAAGACCUUUAAGUUGGGAGGAAGGGCAGUAAGUUAAUACCUUGCGGUAUUGGCGUUACCAACAGAAUAAGCACCGGCUAACUUCGUG
RNAcentral lists this ribosomal RNA (484 nucleotides) under uncultured bacterium. RNAcentral's name for it is "partial 16S ribosomal RNA". It matches the Rfam family "Bacterial small subunit ribosomal RNA", at positions 30 to 507 of the family's 1533-position model. The record is from RNAcentral.